Molecule: long non-coding RNA, 310 nt
Filed under: Capsicum annuum
Lineage: Eukaryota; Viridiplantae; Streptophyta; Magnoliopsida; Solanales; Solanaceae
Description: long non-coding RNA (CANN_LNC011863)
Source: RNAcentral
CGCAAUUAUAGUUAUUGUAGGCGUAUCGAGGUUGAGGAGGCCAAGGGAGCUAUUUUCAGGAUGUGGCGGGGUAGGGCGACGGGGCCAGACGAGAUUCUAGUAGACUUUUAGAAGAGCACUAGCGGGCAGGUCUGGAGUGGUUGACAAGGCUGUUUAACAUUAUUUUUAGAGCUGCUAAGAUGCCUGAAGCAUGGAGGUAGAGCACGAUGAUUCCAGUGUAUAAGAACAAGGGAGACAUUUAGAGUUGUAACAACUAUAGAGGUAUUAAGUUGUUGAGUCAUACUAUGAAGGUUUGGGAAAUGGUGGUAGA